UCUGAGAGUUCUGAAAGUGGCUUCCCCUAGUCUGAUGUCACAGUCUCCAAAGUUAUCAGAAAAAAGAAUGCAAGUUAUUCUUCAGGGCAAAGAAAAAGGCAUAAUUGUUUUCUCUCAAGUCUUUUUAAAACCACAAAAAUAUGUAACCCAUUUAAAUUGCAGACAUUUCAAGUGUUACACUCAUGCUGGCAGGCAUCUGUAUUUUCACAUUCAUCAAUAUCUGUUCAGGAAGAAGACAGAGAGUUAUAACUCCACCACAGGGCGAAAAAGCAGACACUGUGACAGAGCCAACUCUCAUCAAGUUGUUGAUAUACAUUAGAAAAACUUCUUGGUGAUUUUAUACUCGUGUUAAAAAAUGCUCAGAGCUAUUUUCUAUGAAGAUACUUUUAUGUUAUAAAAAUACUGAAUAUAGUACUAUAUACACAGUACUAUAUUACAAAUUAUGGACAUUUCUUUGUGUAAGCACAUAUAUGCUGAAGUCCCAAACGGGUCAAUUUUUAUAUUACUUAAGUAAGAGUGACAUGACAGAGGAAACAAAUGUAGACAGGAUCCUAAACCACCAAAAUAUGAAACUCUUUAAGGAAUAGUAGAAAUUACCUGAAAUACAAUAUUC
Molecule: long non-coding RNA, 613 nt
Filed under: Pan troglodytes (chimpanzee)
Lineage: Eukaryota; Metazoa; Chordata; Mammalia; Primates; Hominidae
Description: long non-coding RNA NONPTRT001366
Source: RNAcentral